AGUCGAGCGAACAGAUAAGGAGCUUGCUCCUUUGACGUUAGCGGCGGACGGGUGAGUAACACGUGGGUAACCUACCUAUAAGACUGGGAUAACUUCGGGAAACCGGAGCUAAUACCGGAUAAUAUUUCGAACCGCAUGGUUCAAUAGUGAAAGGCGGUUUUGCUGUCACUUAUAGAUGGACCCGCGCCGUAUUAGCUAGUUGGUAAGGUAACGGCUUACCAAGGCAACGAUACGUAGCCGACCUGAGAGGGUGAUCGGCCACACUGGAACUGAGACACGGUCCAGACUCCUACGGGAGGCAGCAGUAGGGAAUCUUCCGCAAUGGGCGAAAGCCUGACGGAGCAACGCCGCGUGAGUGAUGAAGGUCUUCGGAUCGUAAAACUCUGUUAUCAGGGAAGAACAUACGUGUAAGUAACUGUGCACGUCUUGACGGUACCUAAUCAGAAAGCCACGGCUAACUACGUGCCAGCAGCCGCGGUAAUACGUAGGUGGCAAGCGUUAUCCGGAAUUAUUGGGCGUAAAGCGCGCGUAGGCGGUUUUUUAAGUCUGAUGUGAAAGCCCACGGCUCAACCGUGGAGGGUCAUUGGAAACUGGAAAACUUGAGUGCAGAAGAGGAAAGUGGAAUUCCAUGUGUAGCGGUGAAAUGCGCAGAGAUAUGGAGGAACACCAGUGGCGAAGGCGACUUUCUGGUCUGUAACUGACGCUGAUGUGCGAAAGCGUGGGGAUCAAACAGGAUUAGAUACCCUGGUAGUCCACGCCGUAAACGAUGAGUGCUAAGUGUUAAGGGGGUUUCCGCCCCUUAGUGCUGCAGCUAACGCAUUAAGCACUCCGCCUGGGGAGUACGACCGCAAGUUGAACUCAAGAAUUGACGGGA
RNAcentral lists this ribosomal RNA (874 nucleotides) under Staphylococcus devriesei. RNAcentral describes it as "bacterial SSU rRNA". It matches the Rfam family "Bacterial small subunit ribosomal RNA", at positions 60 to 918 of the family's 1533-position model. Lineage: Bacteria; Bacillati; Bacillota; Bacilli; Caryophanales; Staphylococcaceae. The record is from RNAcentral.